AGGCCAUCGGCAACGGAGGCUUAUGAUGAGUCCUUAUGAUGAGGAGUAAUUCUUAGCAAAUAUGAAUGAAUAGAAUAAUAAUAUAAAACAUAAACAAGCUAAGAAGUUAAGGAUUAAAAUGAAUUGAUCCUUGUUGACGUGGCAUACUCACUUUGUUAGCAUCGUUCCCUGCUUCUUCAUUCAUUUGGGUGGGAGAAUAGGAGUCAUCAACAAGUCUGUCGAAGAAAUCUCCUCGUCGUCGGGUUUGAUGAAGCCAUAGCAAUUUGAAAAUUGAGAGAUCCAAAUCCCUAAAACCAAAAACCCCAAACACAAAAUCUCCGCGACGGAUCUGCAAGUGCCUGGGACAACCGUGGAGGAGAUUGCUGGUGGCUGGGUUAACCGAGAUCUCUGCUAUUUAUUUAUGAGUCUGUGGAUGAACCUGAGGAAGCAUUGAAGCUACUUCACAAGUCAAUGAAAUUGCUUGAGGAUAAACCAGGACAGCAGAGAUGGAUUGCUAUGUCGUGUCAAAUUGAAUGGUUAGAGGCACGGAUGGGAGUUGUAAUGUAUUACACGCUGGGGAGGUAUUAAACCAGAUGGGACUGGCAUGCGUUCAGCUUUUUUAAGAUCGAUGAGGCUGGUGAAUUGUUUGAAGAAGCGAGAGGGAUUCUCGAACAAGAACGUGGUCCUUGUGAUCAGGACACUCUCGGUGUUUACAGCAACCUUGCUGCUACAUAUGACGCCAUGGGAAGGAUAGAAGAUGCGAUUGAUAUAUUAGAGCAGGUUCCGGUUCUGAAGCUGAGAGAGGAGAAGCUUGGGACUGCAAAUCUGGAUUUUGAGGACGAGAAGAAGCGUUUGGCCGAGCUUUUGAAGGAAGCGGGGCGGUCACAGACCUGUGUUUUGGAUGUGAUUCUUCUUAGUCAUGGUUUCUCCAUUAUAUGUACAACAUAAACACAUUUGAUCAUAUUGCUAAGGGAUUCAAAUAUAAAAAACACCAUUAUACAUUCUUUUUGAAUUAGA
Molecule: long non-coding RNA, 996 nt
Organism: Raphanus sativus (radish)
Lineage: Eukaryota; Viridiplantae; Streptophyta; Magnoliopsida; Brassicales; Brassicaceae
Exons: 3
Source: RefSeq, a predicted model, not a curated record